CGACAAGGCCUAACACAUGCAAGUCGAGGGCAGCACAAGGAGCAAUCUGAGGUGGCGACCGGCGCACGGGUGAGUAACACGUAUGCAACCUGCCUGUAAGCGGGGAAUAACCCGUUGAAAGACGGACUAAUACCGCAUAAUACUAAAUUACUGCAUGGUAAUUUAUUUAAACAUUUAUGGCUUACAGAUGGGCAUGCGCAUGAUUAGCUAGUUGGAGAGGUAACGGCUCCCCAAGGCAACGAUCAUUAGGGGUUCUGAGAGGAAGGUCCCCCACACUGGUACUGAGACACGGACCAGACUCCUACGGGAGGCAGCAGUGAGGAAUAUUGGUCAAUGGACGAGAGUCUGAACCAGCCAAGUCGCGUGCAGGAAGAAUGUCCUUAAUGGAUUGUAAACUGCUUUUGCAGGGGAAUAAAGUGCAUCACGUGUGAUGUUUUGUAUGUACUCUGCGAAUAAGGAUCGGCUAACUCCGUGCCAGCCGCUGC
Molecule: ribosomal RNA, 485 nt
Filed under: uncultured bacterium
Lineage: Bacteria
Description: bacterial SSU rRNA
Rfam family: Bacterial small subunit ribosomal RNA
Source: RNAcentral